RNAcentral lists this ribosomal RNA (410 nucleotides) under uncultured eukaryote. Its description in RNAcentral is "bacterial SSU rRNA". It matches the Rfam family "Eukaryotic small subunit ribosomal RNA", at positions 592 to 998 of the family's 1831-position model. The record is from RNAcentral.
CAAUAACGUAUAUUAAGGUUGUUGCGGUUAAAAAGCUCGUAGUUGGAUUUCUGUCGAAAGUGCUUGGUCCCCACUCUGUGGGCGCAUCUAAGUCGCUUUUGGCAUCCUCCUAUUUUUCGUUUGCUGCACUUAAUUGGGUGGCUUUCGGAGUAGGACUUUUACUUUGAGGAAAUUCGAGUGUUUACGGCAGGCAAUCGCCUUGUAGAUAUUAGCAUGGAAUAAUAAUAUAGGACCUUGGUUCUAUUUUGUUUGGUUUCUUAGGACUGAGGUAAUGAUUAAUAAGGGAUAUUUGGGGGUCGAUUCGUAUUAACCGGUCAGAGGUGGAAUUCUUGGAUUCGGUUACGACGAACUACUGCGAAAGCAUUUGCCAAGAAUAGUUUUCUAUUGAUCAAGAACGAAAGUAGUGGGGA